GAAUCCCCUGUGCUUGUCCUCCAAGCCUGUGGACCUCAGAAGCUGAGCAAGACCUGACUGCUAAACGUGCAGAAGGAGGACCCCUGAGGAUCCUAAAAUAGGAUGAAGAUUCUAAUUUUCUUGCCUGUCACCUUCUUUGCUUGCCUGUUGUCUGCUGACGCACACAAGCCAAGAUACCGCAAACCUCAUCAUAGUUUUAAAGUUCUUAAACAAAGAAGUCCUGGACAGCUAAGAGAUGUUCUACACCAGCAAAGCAGCAGACAGCCAACAAAAUUUCAGGGGCCUCUUAUACUUCCUCGUGGUCCCCGGGGUCAUCUUGUUCCGCACGGUUUCCAUGGUUCUAAUAUCCCCAGACCCCUACAGCCUCUGCCACCUCCUCGCCCGCUCCGCCCCCGCCGCCCUCUGCUCCCGCAGUCUCUGCCAUCCGGAUUCCUGCCGUACCCCAGCGCUGCAGUUCACGCUGGUGCCCAAGCACAGCCGGCCCCUUCUGCGCCCACUCCCACAGCUGCCACCGUGGCCACUGCCACUGCUGCUGGCAGCAAAUCCACAGGUGUGAUGCCCAGCGCUGCGCCUUCCAGCACCCUCCAACCUGAGCCCACAGCCAGUGCUACAGGGGCGGCCACUACCCCAGCCACAGAGACCAGCACUCCAGUCACAGAGGUCACCACCCCAGUCACAGGGGCAGCCACCACCCUGGCCACGGGGGCUAAAACCUUGACGGGCACAGGGGCCGCCACCCCGGCCACAGGGGCUGCCACCCCAGUCACAGAGGCAGCCACCCCAACCACAGGGGCCGCCACUGCAGUCACAGGAGCAGACAUCACCCCAGCCACAGGGGUCGCCAUGACAGUCACAGGAGCAGCCACCACCCCAGCCACAGGGGCCGCCACUGCAGUCACAGGAGCAGCCACCACCCCAGCCACAGGGGUCGCCAUGACAGUCACAGGAGCAGCCACCACCCCAGCCUCAGGGGCCGCCAUGACAGUCACAGGAGCAGCCACAGGGGCCGCCAUGACAGUCACAGGAGCCACCACCCCAGCCACAGGGGUCGCCAUGACAGUCACAGGAGCAACCACCACCCCAGCCUCAGGGGCCGCCAUGACAGUCACAGGAGCAGCCACCACCCCAGCCUCAGGGGCCGCCAUGACAGUCACAGGAGCAGCCAUCACCCCAGCCUCAGGGGCCGCCACUCCAGCUGCACAGCUGGAAGAGCGGUAGUAAAUUCUACAACUGAGAUUAAAGUACACCAAACCAGGAACUGGUGAUUUAGCUCAACGGCAUAGCACCUGCUUAGCAAGAGAAAGGUCAUGAGUUUGAUUCCCAGUACCAGAAAAAAACUAAAAAAAAUUUUAAAAAUAAAAAUAAAGUAUACCAAACCACAAAAAUAAAUUAAUUAAUAAAGGUUUAAAAAUGCUUUCCAGAAUACUUUCCAGCUAGAUAAGUAAAUCUGAGAUGUAUCUAAUAAGACAAGCAAUUUUUUUGGCACUGUCAAAAAGAAAGAUGUACAAAUAGCUUGUAAAUCUGCCAUACAGAUUAGAAAUGCAUAGUCCCCCUUUAUUUGAAGAACUAAAUUUCAUCUCUUUAAGUAGUUAGGUUAUAAAUCUAAUGCUGAGAAAUUCUUACCAAAAAAACCAGACGGGGACCAAGGAUAUAGUUCAGUGGCACAGCGCCUGCCUAGCAAGCAUGAGGUGCUGAAUUCAAUUCCUGCUACCUAAAAAAAAAAAAAAGACAAUUAAAAUGUUCACCAGAUGUGUAUAAUAUGUAUGUGUUUUAAUCUUUAGUUCCCAAUCUUAAAAUGUUUUUCUGAAAAGCUUCCUUUAAUUAGAGUUUUCAUAUAUUAAACUGAAUUUUGACUUCAAAGUUCUUAAAUUCUACAGUGUACAUUUUUCACAAGAGAAAUGUUCCUCUCAUUUUUUCAGUAUCUACCAACUUUAAUAAAACAAACAAAUGGAUGAAAAAUUUCAGGAAAUAUUAUCUUUAUCCUGGGAAACAGAAAAAUAGGCACAAUCACAAUCCAUACAAGAAUUCUCUUUCUAUAACACACACACACACACACACACACACAUACAUGCA
RNAcentral lists this long non-coding RNA (2073 nucleotides) under Chinchilla lanigera (long-tailed chinchilla). RNAcentral's name for it is "lncRNA (ENSCLAG00000027851.1)". The record is from RNAcentral. Lineage: Eukaryota; Metazoa; Chordata; Mammalia; Rodentia; Chinchillidae.